AAUAUUCUCUAAUCCUCCUGUCCUCCUCCUCCAUAUAAUCUUAAUCUCCCUUAAUUAGCUCUAAAUCUUGAAACUGAGAAUUUCUGUUUAUUUUCUGAAUAAAUACACAAAGGCAAAUAAGGGGAAAGGAAAAUUCUCAAUCCUAGGUUCUAUAAUCAAUUGAAUAAACUCCAAAUUGAUUCCUGAUUUUUUACCUAAAAAAAAAAUUGAUUCCUGAUUUUUUUCCCCUCAAAUAAUCAGAAACAUACAUAAAUAUAUGGAGAGAAUAAUUGGAGAGAAAUAUAAGCUUGGGCGCAAGAUCGGUGGCGGUUCGUUCGGAGUAAUAUAUCUCGCUACUCAUAUCGACACGGGUGAAAUUGUUGCGAUUAAAAUCGAAAGUAAGCAGACAAAACAUCCACAAUUAAUGUAUGAGGCGAAGUUGUAUAAUAUUCUGCAGGGCGGAAGUGGCAUUGCUAAUAUUAAAUGGCAUGGGGCAGAUGGAGAUGACAAUGUCCUUGUCCUUGACCUUCUUGGUCCUAGCCUUGAAGAUCUUUUCGUUUACUGUGGAACAAAGUUUUCUCUAAAAACAGUUCUCAUGUUGGCUGACCAGAUGAUUACGAGAAUAGAAUAUGUGCAUUCCAAAGGGUUUCUACAUAGAGAUGUCAAACCAGAUAACUUCCUAAUGGGUCUUGGAAGAAAAGCAAAUCAGGUGUAUAUUAUUGACUUUGGACUUGCGAAAAGAUACCGCGAUCCGACCACAAACCGCCACAUCCCUUACAGGGAAAAGAAAAAUUUGACUGGAACUGCUCGAUAUGCAAGCUGUAAUACUCAUUUGGGCAUUGAACAAAGUCGACGGGAUGAUUUAGAGGCUCUUGGUUAUGUUCUUUUGUACUUCUUGAGAGGAAGCCUUCCAUGGCAGGGUCUAAAAGCUGCUACAAAGAAGCAAAAGUAUGAUAAAAUAUGUGACAAAAAGGUGUCAACACCUGUUGAGGUUUUAUGCAAGUCUUAUCCUGUGGAGUUUGCAUCUUAUCUCCAUUACUGCCACUCAUUAACCUUUGAUCAACGGCCUGAUUAUGGAUUCUUGAAGCGUAUAUUCCGAGAUUUAUUUACUCGUGAAGGUUUUGUAUUUGACUAUGUAUUUGAUUGGACUAUUAUGAAGUAUCAACAAUCACAGAGGUCAAAGAUGAAUCUACAGCUACAUCAUCCGGUGUCAGCUUCUGGGUUGACCAGCACUAAAGAAUUGCCAGUGGGUUUAGAUAAGCUUCAAGCAGACAGAGGAACAAGUGAUCUGAGACAACCUAAUGGUCACAUAUCUUCUCUUUCCGGAGCUGUACGCGAUCUUAGUGCUGGUACUAUGGCAGAGAAACUAACUAUAAGCAAGGAACCACACCCCUCAUCUUCAUUUUCUCUGGCUAAUGCAUUCAAAAGAAAUAUUCCAAAACCAGGAGAGCCAAAUGAAACAGGAAAACAUGGACAUAGACACAAUAGUAAAGCUGGCCCAUCAAGCAGCUGGAUGCCAUCAUCACGCGACCUUUCUUCUGCCAAGUAAAGUGAAGUGGUAUUUGAUGGACAGCACUUAAGGCGCCAAAUGAUUUGCUCCUGUUGUGAAGUCACAUUUCUUGAAUCCUGUACAAGAUUGCUAAUUUAUUUCUUAAGGUACCGAAGUUCUUCAGAGUUUGAAUCAUGUAAGAUGGGAUUGAGGUACUUUGCAUCCAUGUAAUAUCCAGUGAUGGAGCCAUUUGUAGCCAGUGCUUUUCUGGUUAUGGCUUAUUUUGCACUUCACUACCUUUCAGAUUUUGGUAUGUGAUCAAUAUAACACCUGUGAAGCUGCUGCUUCUGAAUGCCGAAUAUAUAGCUUCUAAGGACUUCAUUCAAGGAUGGAAAGUUUUAUACUUGGUGUUUACAGGUAAAUACUUGUGCAGGCUCAUACACUGUGAAUAUGCAAAUCUGGCUAGAAGAUCAUGUAAUUUGAACUAAAUGUCCUUGUUUGGUUAAAGAAGGCAUGAGAAUUACCUUUUUGUGAUACUUCUCUAUCAUUUGGCUUGAGAAUUUAUCACUUCGGAUUCCUUCUUCAUUUCUGCGGAUCAAGCUCAAUUUUGGCCCAAACCUUUGCCCAAAAUUUUUGGGAAUCAACGUUUGCUUGGAAAGAAGCCAUAACCUUUGAACAUGCAAGGCCUAGUGUCCAAAGGAUAUACUACACGUAUAGCACCUCGUUCAGGACUAUGAUAUAAGUUUGCGAAACUUGAAACAAGGAUUAGUUGAGAUUCUUGAUUUUAAGUCCCAAAGACAAAGACAAAUUAAGGAUCGACUAUUUGAGAACUUAUGUCCAUUCUUGCAUUUGCUUAGUAUAACGCAUACAGUAAUAACCAAUCAAAGGGCUUUCUGGGUUUUUGUUUCCUUCU
Non-coding RNA from Coffea arabica (coffee), 2381 nucleotides. NCBI's taxonomy places the organism in Eukaryota, Viridiplantae, Streptophyta, Magnoliopsida, Gentianales, Rubiaceae. The record is from RefSeq and is a predicted model, not a curated record.